AACCCCGAUGUGAAUUUUCCCCUUACUGCAGAUUGAAGUUGAUUUUCCAGAGAAAUGACUUCGGAUGACUCUAAGCCGGUGAAGAAAGAGGAGGAGUCCAACAACAAGAGUUCCGUUUCCAAAAUGGUCGCAAAAGUUAAGAAAGAAGAGCCCGAAUCCAUGAAGAAGAAACCUAAAGCUGUGCCCAUAAAGAAGGAACUUAAAGUGAAGAAGGAAAUCGACGACGACGACGACCUUCCCCUCGCCAGAAGGACCUCCAACUCCAAGGAAGUGAAUAAAAAGAAGAAGACAAAGGAGAAAGAAAAGGAGCAGGAGAAGAAGAGAGCGAAAAAGGUUUAUGAUUUACCUGGCCAGAAACGUGAUCCACCCGAGGAGAAAGAUCCUCUUCGAAUUUUCUACGAGAGUUUAUACGAGCAAAUUCCCCAGAGCGAAAUGUCACAAAUCUGGCUGAUGGAAUCGGGGUUGCUUCCUAAGGAAAUUGCAAAAAAAGUAUUCGAGAAGAAACAAAAGAAAUUCCCGCAGAAGCUGUCUUCUCCAGUUAAGGUGGUAUCGGCUGCGAAGAGUAGCACCAAGAGUAGCACCAAGUCUGUGACUGUUAAGAAGAAAAACCCAACUUCCCCUUUGUCUUCUCUUAAAAAGAGCACUACGAACCCCACGGCGAAGCAGUCUAACAAGAGGAAGUCUAAGGCUCUCAGCUCAGAAGAUGACGAUGUCACUGAUUCUGAUGAUGAAGUUAUUAUAGCCGCAGCAAAGAGGAGAAAAAUGGCUUAAUUAUGCCCAUCCGUAACAACAUUUUUAUUUUGAUAUGAUGUUAUUUAACUUUUGAAAUGUUAACCACAGUAUGCUUCAAUACUCACAUCUGAACUUUCACUCUGACACACGUGUAUGUCUUGUCUGAUGUAUUACUUUUUCUUUGUGGAUUUGGAUAGGAUGAGGAAGAGAAAGAUGAGGGGGUAAAUUAAGAGAAAAGGAUUGUUCUUAUGCAAAACUAUGGUGAAUAGCUGAGGGCAUGCAUCUUAGAGAAAAAUAGACUCUUGUGCAAGGAGAUUGAGUUUAAGGAUUGUGGGAUUUUAUCGGAGAUGAGAGCUUAUUAUAAGGAGUAUAAGGAUGGGGAAGGUUGCAGGAAUCAGAAUCUUGUAAGUUACAUUUGCAAAUUUAAUUUUGUUGAGGUAGCUACUGCAAGCCAUACAUAAGUUAUUGAUCA
Molecule: unclassified non-coding RNA, 1204 nt
Organism: Vigna unguiculata (cowpea)
Lineage: Eukaryota; Viridiplantae; Streptophyta; Magnoliopsida; Fabales; Fabaceae
Source: RefSeq, a predicted model, not a curated record